UACGGGGGGGGCAAGCGUUGUUCGGAAUUACUGGGCGUAAAGGGCGCGUAGGCGGCUCAAUCAGUCGGGCGUGAAAGCUCUGGGCUUAACCCAGAAAGGUCGUUCGAUACUGUUGGGCUAGAGUGUGGAAGAGGCUACUGGAAUUCCGUGUGUAGCGGUGAAAUGCGUAGAUAUACGGAGGAACACCUGCGGCGAAGGCGGGUAGCUGGACCAACACUGACGCUGAUGCGCGAAAGCUAGGGGAGCAAACGGG
Molecule: ribosomal RNA, 253 nt
Filed under: uncultured bacterium
Lineage: Bacteria
Description: partial 16S ribosomal RNA
Rfam family: Bacterial small subunit ribosomal RNA
Source: RNAcentral